Molecule: ribosomal RNA, 671 nt
Filed under: Streptomyces sp.
Lineage: Bacteria; Bacillati; Actinomycetota; Actinomycetes; Kitasatosporales; Streptomycetaceae
Description: bacterial SSU rRNA
Rfam family: Bacterial small subunit ribosomal RNA
Source: RNAcentral
UCUGGGACAAGCCCUGGAAACGGGGUCUAAUACCGGAUAACACUCCUUCCUGCAUGGGGAGGGGUUGAAAGCUCCGGCGGUGAAGGAUGAGCCCGCGGCCUAUCAGCUUGUUGGUGGGGUGAUGGCCUACCAAGGCGACGACGGGUAGCCGGCCUGAGAGGGCGACCGGCCACACUGGGACUGAGACACGGCCCAGACUCCUACGGGAGGCAGCAGUGGGGAAUAUUGCACAAUGGGCGAAAGCCUGAUGCAGCGACGCCGCGUGAGGGAUGACGGCCUUCGGGUUGUAAACCUCUUUCAGCAGGGAAGAAGCGAAAGUGACGGUACCUGCAGAAGAAGCGCCGGCUAACUACGUGCCAGCAGCCGCGGUAAUACGUAGGGCGCAAGCGUUGUCCGGAAUUAUUGGGCGUAAAGAGCUCGUAGGCGGCUUGUCACGUCGGAUGUGAAAGCCCGGGGCUUAACCCCGGGUCUGCAUUCGAUACGGGCUAGCUAGAGUGUGGUAGGGGAGAUCGGAAUUCCUGGUGUAGCGGUGAAAUGCGCAGAUAUCAGGAGGAACACCGGUGGCGAAGGCGGAUCUCUGGGCCAUUACUGACGCUGAGGAGCGAAAGCGUGGGGAGCGAACAGGAUUAGAUACCCUGGUAGUCCACGCCGUAAACGUUGGGAACUAGGUG